This 72-nucleotide transfer RNA is filed under the name Gammaproteobacteria bacterium. RNAcentral describes it as "tRNA-Thr". It matches the Rfam family "tRNA". Rfam says of the family: Transfer RNA (tRNA) molecules are approximately 80 nucleotides in length. Their secondary structure includes four short double-helical elements and three loops (D, anti-codon, and T loops). Further hydrogen bonds mediate the characteristic L-shaped molecular structure. tRNAs have two regions of fundamental functional importance: the anti-codon, which is responsible for specific mRNA codon recognition, and the 3' end, to which the tRNAs corresponding amino acid is attached (by aminoacyl-tRNA synthetases). tRNAs cope with the degeneracy of the genetic code in two manners: having more than one tRNA (with a specific anti-codon) for a particular amino acid; and 'wobble' base-pairing, i.e. permitting non-standard base-pairing at the 3rd anti-codon position. Lineage: Bacteria; Pseudomonadati; Pseudomonadota; Gammaproteobacteria. The record is from RNAcentral.
GCCCACAUAGCUCAGUGGUAGAGCACUUCCUUGGUAAGGAAGAGGUCACCGGUUCAAAUCCGGUUGUGGGCU